ACGCUCGACACCUACGGGAAGCAGCAGUUGGGAAUAUUGGACAAUGGAGGAAACUCUGAUCCAGUGACGCCGCGUGAAGGAAGAAGGUCUUCGGAUUGUAAACUUAUUUUGUCAGGGAAGAAAAAUGACUGUACCUGAAGAAAAAGCACCGGCUAACUACGUGCCUGCAGCCGCGGUAAUCUGAGCGGGCUGGCAAGGC
This 199-nucleotide ribosomal RNA is filed under the name uncultured bacterium. RNAcentral describes it as "partial 16S ribosomal RNA". It matches the Rfam family "Bacterial small subunit ribosomal RNA", at positions 326 to 539 of the family's 1533-position model. The record is from RNAcentral.